UGAGGAAUUUUGCGCAAUGGGCGCAAUCCUGACGCAGCAACGCCGCGUGGGUGAUGAAGGCCUUCGGGUCGUAAAGCCCUGUCAGGUGGGAAGAAUGUCCUGGAAUUGAACAGGUUUCGGGAGUGACGGUACCACCAGAGGAAGCACCGGCUAACUCCGUGCCAGCAGCCGCGGUAAUACGGAGGGUGCAAGCGUUAUUCGGAAUUACUGGGCGUAAAGCGCGUGUAGGCGGUCCUUGAAGUCCGAUGUGAAAGCCCCGGGCUUAACCCGGGAAGUGCAUUGGAAACUGCAGGUCUUGAGUACUGGAGAGGAUGGGGGAAUUCCCGGUGUAGAGGUGAAAUUCGUAGAGAUCGGGAGGAAUAUCAGUGGCGAAGGCGCCCAUCUGGACGGUAACUGACGCUGAGACGCGAAAGCGUGGGGAGCAAACA
This 428-nucleotide ribosomal RNA is filed under the name uncultured prokaryote. RNAcentral describes it as "bacterial SSU rRNA". It matches the Rfam family "Bacterial small subunit ribosomal RNA", at positions 355 to 774 of the family's 1533-position model. The record is from RNAcentral.